UACGUAGGGGCAAGCGUUGUCCGGAUUCAUUGGGCGUAAAGAGCGUGUAGGCGGCCAGGUAGGUCGGUUGUGAAAACUGGAGGCUCAACCUUCAGAGGUCGACCGAAACCAUCUGGCUAGAGUCCGGGAGAGGAGAGUGGAAUUCCUGGUGUAGCGGUGAAAUGCGCAGAUAUCAGGAAGAACACCCGUGGCGAAAGCGGCUCUCUGGAACGGUACUGACGCUGAGACGCGAAAGCGCGGGGAGCGAACAGG
This 252-nucleotide ribosomal RNA is filed under the name uncultured bacterium. RNAcentral's name for it is "partial 16S ribosomal RNA". It matches the Rfam family "Bacterial small subunit ribosomal RNA", at positions 524 to 776 of the family's 1533-position model. The record is from RNAcentral.